UAGGGAAUCUUCGGCAAUGGACGGAANNNUGGACCGAGCAACCNCNCGUGAGUGAAGAAGGUUUUCGGAUCGUAAAGCUCUGUUGUAAGAGAAGAACGAGUGUGAGAGUGGAAAGUUCACACUGUGACGGUAUCUUACCAGAAAGGGACGGCUAACUACGUGCCAGCAGCCGCGGUAAUACGUAGGUCCCGAGCGUUGUCCGGAUUUAUUGGGCGUAAAGCGAGCGCAGGCGGUUAGAUAAGUCUGAAGUUAAAGGCUGUGGCUUAACCAUAGUAGGCUUUGGAAACUGUUUAACUUGAGUGCAAGAGGGGAGAGUGGAAUUCCAUGUGUAGCGGUGAAAUGCGUAGAUAUAUGGAGGAACACCGGUGGCGAAAGCGGCUCUCUGGCUUGUAACUGACGCUGAGGCUCGAAAGCGUGGGGAGCAAACAGGAUUAGAUACCCUGGUAGUCCACGCUGUAAACGAUGAGUGCUAGGUGUUAGACCCUUUCCGGGGUUUAGUGCCGUAGCUAACGCAUUAAGCACUCCGCCUGGGGAGUACGACCGCAAGNUG
Molecule: ribosomal RNA, 550 nt
Filed under: uncultured bacterium
Lineage: Bacteria
Description: bacterial SSU rRNA
Rfam family: Bacterial small subunit ribosomal RNA
Source: RNAcentral